GUAAAUUAUACGAACAUUGAUUCAUUGACAAUAACAUAUAGCUCAGAACUUUCAUCCAUAUAAAAACGAAUAGAAAGAACAUCUUUUUCUAUGGAUAAUCUAAUAUUUUAUUAAUCAUGGAUAAUACACCAAUCAAUACAAGGCAGAAACAGCAUAAAAUGGGGCAUCUCAUCUAUACAAGUAGUCGCCGCAGCAUUAAACCAAGUGUAUAGUGUCAAAUAAAACAAUUCUUUAACAUGCUCUGUUGUAUGUGUAUGAUCAUCAAAACAAUGACUGUUUCUCUCCCUUCACACACACGAAACGAUGCAUCUUGGAAUAAGGUCCCAAACAAGCUUGCUAUCCUUAUUACGAAAUCUCCUCCUCCAUGCUUUCAAUGCAUCUUCCAUACGCCGAAAAAACACCCAAUCCAUGUGUUGUGAGGACAGAAUAUCGUUCCAC
RNAcentral lists this long non-coding RNA (438 nucleotides) under Olea europaea subsp. europaea. Lineage: Eukaryota; Viridiplantae; Streptophyta; Magnoliopsida; Lamiales; Oleaceae. The record is from RNAcentral.